GACGAACGCUGGCGGCGUGCUUAACACAUGCAAGUCGAACGGAAAGGCCCUGCUUUUGUGGGGUGCUCGAGUGGCGAACGGGUGAGUAACACGUGAGUAUCCUGCCCUUGACUUUGGGAUAACUUCAGGAAACUGGGGCUAAUACCGGAUAGGAGCUCCUGCUGCAUGGUGGGGGUUGGAAAGUUUAGGCGGUUGGGGAUGGACUCGCGGCUUAUCAGCUUGUGGGUGGGGUAGUUGCUUACCAAGGCUUUGACGGAUAGCCGGCCUGGGAGGGUGAACGGGGACAUGAGUACUACGGGACGGCGCAGACGGGAACAGGGGGCAACGGGCGAAAAUCUUACCCAGUGGGGGGGAGCCUGUUACGAAGGCGCCCCGUGCGUGAUGACGGCUUACGGGUUGUGAACCGCUGUCGCCUGUGACGAAGCGUGAGUGACGGUAAUGAGUAAAGAAGCACCGGCUAACUACGUG
RNAcentral lists this ribosomal RNA (468 nucleotides) under uncultured bacterium. Its description in RNAcentral is "partial 16S ribosomal RNA". It matches the Rfam family "Bacterial small subunit ribosomal RNA", at positions 28 to 507 of the family's 1533-position model. The record is from RNAcentral.